AUUGAGAUUGCGUUCUCCAGCUGAUCGACUAUAAUUAUACUGUGCUCAAAUGUAAUCCUUUAUCAGAGGAUUCCAAACCAGAAAUCUGGUCGAC
Triticum aestivum (bread wheat) is the source of this 94-nucleotide non-coding RNA. The record is from Rfam. Lineage: Eukaryota; Viridiplantae; Streptophyta; Magnoliopsida; Poales; Poaceae.